AGAAUCAACGCUGGCGGCGUGCCUAACACAUGCAAGUCGCACGAGAAAGGGACUUCGGUCCUGAGUAAAGUGGCGCACGGGUGAGUAACACGUGAAUCAUCUACCCUCGAGUGGGGAAUAACCUAGAGAAAUCUGGGCUAAUACCGCAUAAUACUUACGAGUCAAAGCAGCAAUGCGCUUGGGGAGGAGUUCGCGGCCGAUUAGCUAGUUGGCGGGGUAAUGGCCCACCAAGGCGAUGAUCGGUAUCCGACCUGAGAGGGCGCACGGACACACUGGAACUGAAACACGGUCCAGACUCCUACGGGAGGCAGCAGUGGGGAAUUUUGCGCAAUGGGGGAAACCCUGACGCAGCAACGCCGCGUGGAGGAUGAAGUAUCUUGGUACGUAAACUCCUUUCGAUGGGGAAGAUAAUGACGGUACCCAUAGAAGAAGCCCCGGCUAACUUCGCGCCAGCAGCCGC
Molecule: ribosomal RNA, 460 nt
Filed under: uncultured bacterium
Lineage: Bacteria
Description: SSU rRNA
Rfam family: Bacterial small subunit ribosomal RNA
Source: RNAcentral